GCCCCUUUAUUUGGGGGCCUAGUGCUAAUUCCCCCUUGCCCCCUCCUAUUGAAAUGUUCAGCUAAUGGUACAGGAUGUGGUGUUUGUCAUUCAAGGGAUCUGUUGUUCAGGUUUAGUGAAGAUGUGGUUACAUGUCCUAACUGCUCCUCACACUUUCACUGGUUAUAGCAAGUUCCUGUUAAAGGUUGGAGUACAUUAGGUAUGUGUCAAUAUAAUUAUAUUGUUCUCUGUUCUAGUGUGGGCAGCAAUGUAGUGCCGCCUCCACGUGACAC
RNAcentral lists this long non-coding RNA (272 nucleotides) under Amphimedon queenslandica. RNAcentral describes it as "uncharacterized LOC109586686, transcript variant X2". Lineage: Eukaryota; Metazoa; Porifera; Demospongiae; Haplosclerida; Niphatidae. The record is from RNAcentral.